RNAcentral lists this transfer RNA (67 nucleotides) under Peploptera acromialis. RNAcentral's name for it is "tRNA-Tyr". The record is from RNAcentral. Lineage: Eukaryota; Metazoa; Arthropoda; Insecta; Coleoptera; Chrysomelidae.
GAUAAAAUGACCGAGUUGUAGGUAUUAAAUUGUAAAUUUAACAACGAAGAAUUUUCUUCUUUUAUCA